UGGAAGCAGACGGUGUUCUACAUGGAGGA
RNAcentral lists this non-coding RNA (29 nucleotides) under Homo sapiens (human). Lineage: Eukaryota; Metazoa; Chordata; Mammalia; Primates; Hominidae. The record is from RNAcentral.